AACGCACCUUGCGCUCCGUGGUAUUCCGCGGAGCAUGUCUGUUUGAGUGUCGCGCCCCUCUCUCAACCCCGCCGGCCGUGAGUGGCCGGCCGCGGGCUUGGAUCGUGGCCUGCCCGACUUGCCCAAGUCGCAGGCCGAAAUGCUCGAGCGCCGACCGACGCGGUUCGACCGGAACGUUGUACGCACCCUCGUUCUCGGGACGUGGCGAGACGCGCUGCGAAUCGCGACCAUUUUUUGACCUCGACCUCAAAUCAGGCAGGACGACCCGCUGAACUUAA
This 278-nucleotide unclassified non-coding RNA is filed under the name uncultured Elmerina. RNAcentral's name for it is "partial contains 5.8S ribosomal RNA, internal transcribed spacer 2, and large subunit ribosomal RNA". The stretch from base 1 to 52 matches the Rfam family "5.8S ribosomal RNA", at positions 103 to 154 of the family's 154-position model. The record is from RNAcentral. Lineage: Eukaryota; Fungi; Basidiomycota; Agaricomycetes; Auriculariales; Aporpiaceae.